Molecule: ribosomal RNA, 469 nt
Filed under: uncultured bacterium
Lineage: Bacteria
Description: partial 16S ribosomal RNA
Rfam family: Bacterial small subunit ribosomal RNA
Source: RNAcentral
GACGAACGCUGGCGGCGUGCUUAACACAUGCAAGUCGAACGGAAAGGCCCUGCUUGCAGGGUGCUCGAGUGGCGAACGGGUGAGUAACACGUGGGUGAUCUGCCCCUUACUUUGGGAUAAGCCUGGGAAACUGGGUCUAAUACUGGAUAGGACCAUGCUGUAGGUGGUGUGGUGGAAAGAUUAGUUUCGGUAAGGGAUGAGCUCGCGGCCUAUCAGCUUGUUGGUGGGGUAAUGGCCUACCAAGGUGUCGACGGGUAGCCGGCCUGAGAGGGUGGACGGCCACAUUGGGACUGAGAUACGGCCCAGACUCCUACGGGAGGCAGCAGUGGGGAAUAUUGCACAAUGGGCGCAAGCCUGAUGCAGCGACGCCGCGUGGGGGAUGACGGCCUUCGGGUUGUAAACUCCUUUCAGCCAUGACGAAGCCCUUGUGGUGACGGUAGUGGUAGAAGAAGCACCGGCUAACUACGUG